GAUGAAGAACGCAGCGAAAUGCGAUAAGUAGUGUGAAUUGCAGAAUUCAGUGAAUCAUCGAAUCUUUGAACGCACAUUGCGCCCCUUGGUAUCCCGAGGGGCAUGCCUGUUCGAGCGUCAUUUCACCACUCAAGCCUGGCUUGGUGUUGGGCGACGUCCCCUUUGGGGACGCGCCUCGAAACGCUCGGCGGCGUGGCACCGGCUUUAAGCGUAGCAGAAUCUUUCGCUUUGGAAGUCGGGGCCCCGUCUGCCGGAAGACCUACUCGCAAGGUUGACCUCGGAUCAGGCAGGGAUACCCGCUGAACUUAAGAAUAUCAAUAAGCGGAGGA
This 329-nucleotide unclassified non-coding RNA is filed under the name soil metagenome. RNAcentral's name for it is "partial contains 5.8S ribosomal RNA, internal transcribed spacer 2, and large subunit ribosomal RNA". The stretch from base 1 to 120 matches the Rfam family "5.8S ribosomal RNA", at positions 35 to 154 of the family's 154-position model. The record is from RNAcentral.